RNAcentral lists this long non-coding RNA (10214 nucleotides) under Jatropha curcas. RNAcentral's name for it is "long non-coding RNA (JCUR_LNC002385)". The record is from RNAcentral. Lineage: Eukaryota; Viridiplantae; Streptophyta; Magnoliopsida; Malpighiales; Euphorbiaceae.
GAACAAAAAAAAAUCUUAAAAGUUAAACAGAAUAUCGGAAGUAUAAAUAAUAGAUUUUAUUUUUUAUUUUUUAAAAAUCGAAUUAAUCAGAGCAAUACUAACAAAAUAAUAUUGUAAAGUUACUUAGGACAUCCCUUCCUCUUAUCUCUCCGUGUGGUCGCUUUCAUUGGCUUCAUAAUCAUACACAUAUUCAUGGCCCACUUACGAAGCCAUCUCACAACCACAAAAUAUAAUUUUCAAAAGAAAAAUGACCGUUCGGACAGCUUGUUAAGUUUUUCCACACUUCUUCCUCACUUUCCCACUCUCUAUAACGGCUACAAUAGAAGGCUCUGGAACAAUCUACCUGUUUUAAGACGGCGGGACACGUGUAACCAAUCACAUGGGCUGCUUUUGCUCGAAAAUGGAGAAGAAUAAGCUGUAGUGUUACUCUUAGAUGUGAAUUAUUUGCUUCAAAUGAUGCUUUAGUUGUUUCUAGUGAAAAUAGAGCAAUAGUAAUUUUUUUUUUUUACCAUUUAAUAUGAUGUACAAUGAAUUUUUUACACUAUGUACUAUUAUGCAGCAGUUACAACAUUUUAAAGUCCAUCAAAUAGUAUAAUCCAUUAGAAAAUCCAAUAAAUUUCUCAUUGCUCUUUUGAAUAAUAUUUACUAUAUUUGUGCAUAUUAAUUAUUAAAAAAAAUUUAUUUACACCCGGUGUUUGGAUCUAUUUAUACAUCAAAUCAAUCACAAAUAAUAUUUUGAUUUAAUCAAAUGUAUUUCUAAUCAUAUAUUAAAAAAAGAUAAAAUAAUAAUUUUUUUGAUUGGUUUACUGAAUGAGACUACCCAUAUACUAAGUGUUGAUAAAAAUUUCCUUAAUUAUUAUAGAAAAGUUAGAAAUAAUUCAAUCGCUUUUCCUUAACUUACUUUUUUGCACUUAAUGUAAUAAAAAAAACUUCAAAACUUUAAUAAUGUAAAAUGAUUCUUACUAAAUUGUAUAGUUAAGUCUAAUAGGAUUGUUGAGACUUUGGUUCUUAAUUUAUGAAAUUUCAAUUUUUAUCCUAAAAAAAAAAAAACAAAGUAACAGGAAAGCUCAUAUAAAUGAACAUGCAAGAGAAAAAAAAAUCAUUUUUUAACUAAAGUAAAUUAUUGCAUACUUCCCUCCUAGAUUACUCUGAAAAAUAAAAAAUAAAAUACACAAAAUUAAAAAUAUACGAGCUUUGUUAACAGAUACAUAUUACGUACAUUUACGAUUACAUUCUUAGCAUAAUAUCAAAAUUUUCAAAAACAUUACAGUUCUUUUAUUCUAUUUACAUUGUAAGUAUCUCUCUACACAGAUUAUGCCAAAAAUACUUUUUGAAUAUCAGUUAAUCAGAUUUAAAAUAGAAUCAGGUGCAGGUGAUAUUACUUAAAAAAAUAAUAUUUCACUGUGCCACGGCAUAUAAGAUAAAAGUGUAAUCGGCAUAUAAGAAGGCACAAAAUCAAGAGAGUUGACAUGAAUGGACUGCUGUUGGGAGUGUGAGUUGGACGGAUUUGAAAUAAAGAUAAGAGGAAAGGCAUAGGUGGGACCUGUUUACUGUGCCACAGCAUGAACCGUGAUGUUUUUUGCCAGCUGGUGGACACGUGAUUCUUGAUUAGUUCAAUUACUGCAUUUGAUCAAACAUGGCCCCACUCUUUGAAUAUUUAAUUUAAGAAAAAAACCCAACCAGAACACCUCAUAUUUCCUGACUGAAAUGCUUGCUUGCUGCGGGCUACUACAAUAUAUAAGAUAUAUCUAUACUGAAACCCUUUAUCUUUAAUUGGCAUUAUUAAAAGAUUUUGUAACCUUACACCGUGGAAAUACUGGAAAUGACAAUUUUAACUCAUUUAAAUGUAAAAGUUAAUUAACAAAUUUAUUUUGGAUAAUUUAUACAAAAUAUGAAUAAAUAUUGUAUUUCUAAAAUAUAAGUCGUUUAAAGUAUUGCAUGCGAUUAAUGAAUCAAUUAAUUUCGCUAAAAAUUAUAUCACUCCGUCUCAAAAUUUAAGUUGUCUAAGGUGAUAAUUUUAUCACAAAAUAUAAGUCAUUUUGAAUAUUUUAAGAAAUUACAAAUGAUUUUUUUUCUUUCAACUGUAUCCUUAUUUAUAUUAGAUAUAAUACAACGAUGUGAGAUAAAAGUAACAAUGAGAGAUAAAUGAUAAUUUGUUCAAAUUACUCUUGAUUUUGUUAGAAAUUUAGAAAAAUUAAUUGCAUUUUUAAUUCUCGUAUAAAAAUCUUAAACGACUUAUAUUUUGGACAAAUAGAGUAAUAAACUCAACAAUAAUUUGAUUUAUGAGAAUUAAUUUAAACGAUCAAAUUAUCCUUAAUCUCAAAAUCAAGUUAUUGUAUUAUGAAUAAAGUUAAAAUUGGAAAAAAGAUUAUUUGUUAAAUAUGUUUUGAAAUCAAAUAGUUUUAUGAGUUAAAAAGAUUAGAAAUAAUCAUUUUUUAAAUUCAUUUGGUGUUAAAUUGGGAUGAUAAAUUAUCAAAAAAAAAAAAAAAAUAUAUAUAUAUAUAUAUAUUUGACAAACAGAUUGAAAGCUAGUUCUUUUGAAAGUUUACUGAGAACACAAAUUACAAGCUCAUAGUAGUUAGUAGCUUGAUUAAGGAAACCCAUGAAGGACAAAAUGACAGUGGCAAAUGCCUUUGAGACCAAAAGGCUUCAGCUUCAAUUUUUUAUAACGUAACAUUUAAUAUCUUUCUCUUUAUGAUUUUUAAAUUAUUGUAAUUGCUAUCAACAGUAUAAAGUAUAGAAAAUUCAUUAUAUAUAAUAUUGAAUAAAAAAAAAAAAAGGGUGAGAAAUGUCAUUAUUUAUAGAAUUAAUUCACACAAACAUAAAUGCGAAGCUUCAUUCUACCUUUUAGGUGCUACCAUUCACUGAAGGGGAACGCACGCAUCAUUGAAGCUCAACGCCUGUCUUUUGCACUUUUCAAACUGAAUCAUUUCAUUCGUGAAAUAAAUUGAUGGAUAAAGGGCAAUUGCCAAACAAUAUUAACGGCAAAAACAAACGAGUCUUUUUUUUUUUUCUUUUUCUUUUCUUUUCAUUAGAAUAUUUAAAGUAUUGGUUAGAGGUAUAAUUAUAAAAUAUAAUUGAUCUCAUAAUUAAUCUUUUCCUUUUCUUAAUAAUAAUCAUUAUAGUCUUGCUUUUGGUGUUAUAGUUGUUUUUUUUUUUUAAUAAUAAAAAAAUAAUGUAUUAUGUCAAUCGAAUGUGAUCUGAUUGGUAUUUCCAUUCACCUUGAGAAGUUUCAAAUUUUAGAUAGUUAACUAUCAGAGUUAUCGUCAAUUUUGCUUAUAAAACAACAAGAGAGCUACCUAUAUUAUGCAGCCCACAAAAAUUCUUUAUAAUAAAUUAAAAAAAUAUUAUUUUAUUAAAAUUGAUAUAUUAUAUUUGUUAUUUAAUAGUUUGAACUAGAAAAAUAAGCUACUAAAAUUCACACAGAUUUUCUUAAAUAUAAAUUUUUACUAUGAAAAAUAGAAAUCAAAGUCAGAAAACAGAAAUGAUACAAAAUAGACACGUAAUCAUAUUUGAUGAGCAUUUCUCAUAAUACACGUUAGCUUGUUUAGCUUGUUUCGUGUAAAUUGAUGAUCCCAUUCUGUUUCGACAUAAAUGGUAUCAUUGGUUAUUAUAAACAAUUUCAAAAAUUUUUGAGCUACCACCAUAAAUACAACUUGUAUGAUUUCAAUUUUCAAAUUUAAAAGUUAUCUAAUAUCUACUUUAUCAAUGGACCUACACCUUUCCAAAUUUCUUGUUAAUCUUAUGCAUUAGAAAAUUUAGCCAAAUAAAAUUGAUAUUAUAUAUCAAUUUUAUUUAUUUUUCAAUUUAAAAUCACAAGUUUAAUUAUCGGAAAAUGCAUAUACUAUGAAGAAAAAAUUUUUAUAAUCAACUAUCCAAAAGAGAUUAGUUUACACCAAUAUAGUAGAAGAAAAAUAGUGGAAGAACACGUGACGAUUCUAAUAUGAUAUACAUAAACUAAAAAUAUUUUAAAGGAGUCUUCACUUAUAAUUUUGUUUUCAAAAUUUAAUACUUGUAAUUUGUUUUAACCAACUAUUUACUAUUUUUAAUUGAUUUUGUAAACUCAAAACUCCAUUUAUUUUUCAAAAAAUAAUUUAUUUUUAAAAAAUAUUUUUAAAAGCAAAACAUACUUGAAAAUUUGAAAUAACACAUUUUCUAUUGUUUGGUUACAAUAUUGAAAAAUUGUUAAAAAAUAUUAAAGCUUUUAUAAGAUCGAAAAAAUUUAUAAUUAUAAAAAGUUUCACAUUUUAAAAUUUUAUUAUUUAAUACAACAUAAAUAUUUAUUACGUGCUUGAUUGUAAUUUGUAUCUAAGACUUAAUCAUAUUUUAUGGACCAAAGAUAUAUUUUGUAUAGAAUCCAGAUAGAAAUAAGAGAUUAUAUUCCUAAAUCCUUCGCUAACUCUCAAUGAACUAGCAAUCACUCCAAAAUACUUAUUGAAUUGGUAUUUCAAAUAUUUAUCUAAUAAAGAUUCCACCUACAACUCUAAUGAAAAUUCUUUACCUCUGUAUAAAAGAGGGAUCAAACUCCCUACUCACACUAUUUAGGCAAUGUAAUACCAAUAUAUUUCAUUCAAUUAUAAGUAUUUAUUAUUUAUUUACUGACUUAAACAUAAAAGUGAUUGCAGGCCUAGAUGAGACCUUUAUUAUUCGUUUAUGUCUUGCAGAUUUCUACGGACCUCUCUUUAUUUUUCCUUGUUCAUUUAUGUCUUACAGAUUUUUACAUAGGCGCUAUGGAUAGAUUUUUCUAAGUCUAUCAUUAUUAAAUAUGAGAAACAAUAUUAUAAAAAAAGAUAAAUUACGAUAUCUAUCGAUGACCGUGGUCGUGAAAAUAAUGAUUAAUUAAUAAUAAAUAUGUAUUUAUAAGUUUAUAAUAAAUUUAUCAGUAUCUGAAAAAUAUUUUUCUCUUUUAGAAAAAGAAAGUUAUAAAAAUGAUUUAGUUCUCUCUUUCUUAAGGAAAAUAUCAUCUGUUGCUAAUUUUCUUGAACACUUCAAACAUUAAAAAAAAAUCUAAAAAAUAUUAUUCAGACAAGUUAUUUCUCGAAAUUAAUGGAAUCUCAAUAUUAAUUUAUUAUUAUUUUUUCCAUUGAGAAAAAAAUAUAUUAGAUUUAUUCCACUAUUGAGAAUAAAGGAAAUCAUUUAAAAUAAGAAAGCUCAAAAAGUUAUAGCCGUAAUACUAAUAGCAUUAUUUCAAAUUUGUUUGACAUGAUGUAAUCAACCGAAAUGAUAAUUACAUUAUAUGAGUAAUUACAUUAUUUGAUUAGACUUUUUUUAAUAGCGUAGUAUAAUUGAGACUACGUGUAUAAUCUUCAUCACUUAAAUUGAUGUAAUACUCAUUACAUGAAAAAACACACAUAUUGUCUAUUACAUCAAGUAAAUGGAAUACCGAUUAUAUUAAGUCAUCCCAAUCAAAACUCUACCAUUCUAGAUUAUUUAGGCUGUGUUGGGUAAUAAAGUUUUGAGUGGCUUUUAAAGUUUUGACUGGUCAAAACGUUACUUAAAAAGUUGUUUGGUAACAUAGCGUUUGGACUAGCUUUUAGAGAUUAGAAUAACGUUUUGUGAAAAGUUAACUCACGUAACGUUUAGCUUUUAGCGUUUCAUGAAAAACUACUCAAACAGCUAACAACUAAACACUAUUAAAAUAGCAAAUAGCUACCAAAAUAGCUAAUUUUGCCGAACAUAUCCUUAAUACUACCACUUCACCACCACAACCACUAUCACCGCUUCACCACCACAGCACCACCUUAACACCCACCACAACCACUGCCACAAUUACUACUCCACCACCACCACCACCACUACUGUUCCAUCACUACUUCAACCACCAUUACCGCUCUGCAACGACAACCAUCACCAUUGUUCUACCAUCACCACUACUACCACCAUCACUGCUCCAUCACUAUCACCUCAACUACCACCACCGCUGCUGCUGCCUCAACUCCUACCAUCAUCGCUCCACCACCACUAUCACCACCAUCGCUUUACCACCACCACCAUGUGGUGGUGAUAUGAUUAGUGGUGAUGGUGUGCUAAUUAUAUUACAUAUUUACAAAAAAAAAAAAAAAGAACGAUGAUUAUAUUCCUAAAUUUUCUUGAUAAUAUUAUCAAACAUAGUAAUGAAAUCUUAAUUAAAUUACGUUUUUCAUCACAUUACUUCUUUAAUUACAUUAUAUUGCCUUACAUCAAACCAGACAUAGCGUUAGCAUGUAUAUCCUCAUACACAUCAAAACUUGACUCUAAUAUCUAUGAGAAAAAUGCACAGUUAAGCCCUUAAAUUUAAUCAGUUUUUCCAUUAAACUUUUAUUUAUGAAUAUUAAGUUUUUAAACUUUUAUUUUUUUUAAAAAAAUUAAACUCUAUUUAACCGAGAUUUAAACUUUUAUUUUUUUAAAUUAAACUCUUAUUUAAUUAUGAGUUAAACAAUUAUAAUCCCAUAUGUUAUACGCGGUUGAUGGGAAAACUUAAUCGAAUUGUUAAAUCUCUUAAACUUUUAUUUUUUGAAAAUUAAGUUUUUAAAUUUGUACUUUUGUUAAAGUGAGUAUUUAAAUUAUUUCCAUUAUCAGUGAUUUGAAUUUAUUAUUUACUCACUAUCGAUUUAGAACUUAAUUUUAACUUAAAUAAAAAUUGAAGGAUUCAAUAUUGAUAAAUGAAAUUGCAGGAGCUUAGUAGACAAAACUUGAAAAAUAAGAGGCUUAAGUACAUCUUUUACCAAAUAUAAUCAAGAGUUAAUUUACACUCACACAUAGGUGAGGAUAGGAUUAGGAUAGAAGUGUGGUAAGUGCCCGCGAACUUUGAGUUAUCCAUAUCUAUAUCUGUUUAGAGCUUUAAAAUCAAUUGUAUCUAUGUUAAAUCCGUUUAAAUACCUAUAUCAAAAUCUGUUUAAAAUUUUACUGUCCGAUCCAUUCAAAAUCUAUUUUAAAUACUUGUAUUUGAUGUUCAUAAAAUUUAAACCAUUUAAACACGAACUUAUUUAAAAAAGUAUCUUCCAUUGAUAAUGGAUAAAGUAUCAAGGAUACUCACAGUAAAACUCAUUUAAUAUAAUGGAUAACAAGUAACGAAUAUUCAAACUCAUUUAGUAAAACUCCUGAAUUCAAACGACAGGAUUUGCAAGUGAAGAGAGAUGGAACCUAAAACGGUUGGCUAUGUACUCAAUGUAGAUUCACUAACAAAGUACAACAAAUGCAAAUACCAAGUAAAAAGGAACAAAUGGUUAAGAAUUCAGACAAAGUCCUAACUUCAAAGUUCAAAGUUCAAACCAUAAAAUCAUUUCAGUAAGGAGAAAUCAAACUAAAACUUUUGAAUGUUAAAAUUUCAACUUUAACCACAGAACCAAAACCCUGUUAGCUAUGUACUAACACAAAGUGCAAGAAACACCGAGUACGAACUCAAGCACAGUAAGAUUGAGCUGGAUUGCCCAUAACCCAAAAACACUAGAAUGUGUCUGGUGUGGAGGGGUCCAGAAGCCAACUUAAAUAGAAGCAGAGGGACAACACUGGAAAUUAUGAUUUAAAAAAAAAAAAAAAAAAAAAACUAAAAAGCAAAGAGAGAAACAGACAAGAAAUAACCGUUGUAGGGGUGGCUUUUUGGGUUGGAUGCCAGGCUGACGCUUGAGCCCCCCUCAGAUGAUUCAGCUCACAUGGUCUAUCUGUACACUCUGGGUCCCACCCUCCACUUUCUCUCUCUACUACCCUCUUUGGAUUAGUUGUCAAAUGAUCCUUUUAUGUUAUCAUAUUACACACUUUCAUCCUAUCUAUUUCAAAGUUACUAACUUUAGUUAAUGAGAUUUAAUCUGCCAAAUGCAUAAAUUAAUAUCUAAAUUUUAUAAGAAGAGUCUAGUAGCACCUUUAAACGUUGAAAACUUCUUUUCGUAAAAUUAUAGCUAGUAAAUGCCUUAAUUUAAAAAACCGUAUUUAUUAAAUACUUAAACGUAUAUAAUUAUGUUUAUUAAAUAUUUAUCGGAUGAUUUAAAAUAUAAAAAUUUUAUUAUUUAAUAAAUUAUAUUAAAAGUUAUAUAAAAUGUUACACUUAUUGAAUAUAUUAUUUAGUAAUUGUUGUAAAAUUAAAAACCCUGUUUUUUUUUUUUUCAAAUUAAGUUGAUACUUAGUCUCAACUGUGCUUUUAUCCAUAAUUUUAAAUAAUUUAUUUGUAGAAACCCUAAAAACCAUAUAUUUUUCGUUGACAUAUCAUAAAAAUUAAAAUUAUUAAUUUCAAACUGUUUAAAUACUGGUAAAAUGUAAAAUAAUGCAAAUGGUGACAGUUUUUGCAACCAACUUUUUUUCUUGGAAAUUCUCUGUAUUACAAUCGUCUUUUAUAAUAUUUUUAUUAAUAUUAUUUUGUUCCAAACAUGCCCUUGUCUUAUCCAAAUAAUGCCCCGUACUCUCCUGCCCUUCUCUCUAUUCUUAUAAGGGCAGUGGCCUGUGGAUCAAAGACCACAGUCCCAAGAGAGAAGAGAAAGACAAAGCAAUUAAGCUCACAAGAGAGAAGCUCUUCUAUUUUCUAGAGUAAGAAAGAAGAAAGAAGACGAUGGCCAAGGAAGUAAGUGAAGAAACGCAAACUACCCAUGCAAAGGAUUAUGUUGAUCCACCACCUGCGCCACUGAUCGACAUGGCUGAAAUCAAGCUCUGGUCUUUCUACAGAGCUUUAAUAGCUGAGUUCAUAGCCACUCUCCUUUUCCUUUACAUAACUGUAGCCACUGUAAUUGGCUACAAGAAACAAACUGAUCCAUGUGGUGGAGUUGGUCUUUUGGGCAUUGCAUGGGCCUUUGGUGGCAUGAUCUUUAUCCUUGUUUACUGCACUGCCGGUAUAUCUGGUAAGUAAAAAAAAAAGGAACUAUUUCUCUAAGUUACUAGUACCCAAAUGGGUAUUUAUUAAGUUUUAGGUUUCUGUGAAGUUUCUUUGUGGAUUUGGUCAUUCAACUUGAAAAAUAACAAAACCCAUUUGUUUUCAAGACCUGUUUAAUAAUGGGUUUUCCUUAUUUUGGUUACAGGUGGUCAUAUUAACCCAGCAGUGACCUUUGGGCUGUUUUUAGCAAGAAAGGUGUCACUAAUUCGAGCCUUGGCUUACAUGGUGGCUCAGUGUUUAGGUGCCAUCUGUGGUGUAGGGUUGGUCAAAGCUUUUAUGAAGAAUCCAUAUAAUCAUCUUGGUGGUGGUGCUAACUCUGUAAAUACCGGCUAUAGCAAAGGAACUGCUUUGGGUGCUGAGAUCAUCGGCACUUUUGUUCUAGUCUACACUGUUUUCUCUGCAACUGACCCCAAGAGAAGUGCACGUGACUCACACGUUCCUGUAUGUUAUCAACCAUAGCCUAGUAUAGCUCUCCUCUUUCAUGUCAAAGAGUUCAAAUCUAAACUUUGUUUUGGUUAUGUUUGGUUGCAGAUUUUGGCUCCACUUCCAAUUGGGUUUGCAGUUUUUAUGGUUCACUUGGCUACCAUACCCAUUACUGGUACUGGUAUUAACCCAGCGAGGAGCUUCGGUGCUGCUGUUAUUUACAACAAUGAUAAAGUCUGGGAUGAUCAUGUAAGCCUCUUGAUAGUCAACCAGAAACUUAUUUUUCUUGAUUUUAUGGUUGUUUUGAAGUUGGUGCUUUUUAACAUAAAACAUCAGAAGUAGGUUAAUUUUCAAGAAUAUGUUUAUCUUCUUGAUAAAAUAAUUUAAUUUCCUUUUUAAUUAUUUUUUGGAUGGGCAGUGGAUUUUCUGGGUUGGACCGUUUGUUGGAGCAAUUGCAGCAGCUGCAUACCAUCAAUACAUACUGAGAGCAGCAGCUAUCAAAGCUUUGGGAUCUUUCCGCAGCAACCCCACCAACUAAAAUGAAAGAAAGAACGAAAGAAAGAAAAACAAGAAAAAAAAAAAAAACCAAAGGCUUUGUGUAGCUAUCUUUAGUCUCUAGUCUUUCUUUUUCUCUAUUUGUUUGUUUGUUGUGUGUAAUGAGAGGAUUAUGAUGAUGACCCUUCUUUCUUCUUUCUUUUUUUACUUCAUUUUUUCUUUUCUUAUUGUUCUUUUGUAUCAUUGUUAAUGAGUAGUGCUGUUCUUUUUUCUUUCUUUUGAUCAUAUUUAAUUGCUUUGUGCAGUGUAGAACGUUCUCUCUCAACACUCUUUUAAUAAUUAGCCACUAAAUAAACUACCAGCUAACUAAAUUUUUAUCCUCUCGACCUUCAUUACAGCGGUGCUAGUGAAUUUGUGAGUAGCGGUUAGGCCAUCUUCGGGAACAGUUUUUUCAUAUGGC